UACGUAGGGUGCAAGCGUUAAUCGGAAUUACUGGGCGUAAAGCGUGCGCAGGCGGGUUUGUAAGUCUGUCGUGAAAUCCCCGGGCUCAACCUGGGAAUUGCGAUGGAGACUGCAAGGCUAGAAUCUGGCAGAGGGGGGUAGAAUUCCACGUGUAGCAGUGAAAUGCGUAGAUAUGUGGAGGAAUACCGAUGGCGAAGGCAGCCCCCUGGGAUAACACUGACGCUCAUGCACGAAAGCGUGGGGAGCAAACAGG
This 253-nucleotide ribosomal RNA is filed under the name uncultured bacterium. Its description in RNAcentral is "partial 16S ribosomal RNA". It matches the Rfam family "Bacterial small subunit ribosomal RNA", at positions 524 to 776 of the family's 1533-position model. The record is from RNAcentral.